ACGAGUUAGGGUCUUCUCGGCCCGACCUCCCAACCCUUUGCUUACUUGACCAUUGUUGCUUCGGCGAGCCCGUCUUUACUGACCGCCGGGGGACCAUAAAACGUCCUCUGGUCCGCGCUCGUCGGUGGCCAACUUUUAUAAAUUCUUAACUAAACGUGUCAUUAUCUAAGUACUAUUGUUAAUUAAAGCA
This 190-nucleotide unclassified non-coding RNA is filed under the name uncultured Ascomycota. Its description in RNAcentral is "sequence contains ITS1". Lineage: Eukaryota; Fungi; Ascomycota. The record is from RNAcentral. RNAcentral also lists the same sequence under 1 other name.